Molecule: unclassified non-coding RNA, 375 nt
Filed under: soil metagenome
Description: partial contains 5.8S ribosomal RNA, internal transcribed spacer 2, and large subunit ribosomal RNA
Rfam family: 5.8S ribosomal RNA (bases 1-120)
Source: RNAcentral
GAUGAAGAACGUAGCGAAAUGCGAUAAGUAAUGUGAAUUGCAGAAUUCAGUGAAUCAUCGAAUCUUUGAACGCACAUUGCGCCCGCCAGUAUUCUGGCGGGCAUGCCUGUUCGAGCGUCAUUUCAACCCUCAAGACCCCUUCGGGGGACUUGGUGUUGGGGACCGGCACAGGGGCCUGCCUGCUUGUCUUGCAGCGCCCUCGCCGCCCCCGAAAUGAAUUGGCGGCCUCGUCGCGGCCUCCCCUGCGUAGUAGCACAAACCUCGCAACGGGAACGUGACGGCGGCCACUGCCGUAAAACAACCCAAUUUUACUAGAGUUGACCUCGAAUCAGGUAGGAAUACCCGCUGAACUUAAGCAUAUCAAUAAGCGGAGGA